UUGGAGGGCAAGUCUGGUGCCAGCAGCCGCGGUAAUUCCAGCUCCAAUAGCGUAUAUUAAAGUUGUUGCAGUUAAAAAGCUCGUAGUUGAAUUUCGGGAUCAAUGUUUCGGUCAUGCCGUUGGUAUGUACUGAUAUUAUUGAUUUCUCACCUUCUAAAGAACCGUAAUGCCAUUAAUUUGGUGUCACGGGGAAUUAGGACUGUUACCUUGAAAAAAUUAGAGUGUUUAAAGCAGGCUCACGCUUGAAUACAUUAGCAUGGAAUAAUGAAAUAGGACGUUUGAUUCUAUUUUGUUGGUUUCUAGGAUCGACGUAAUGAUUAAUAGGGAUAGUUGGGGGCAUUAGUAUUCAAUUGUCAGAGGUGAAAUUCUUGGAUUUAUUGAAGACUAACUACUGCGAAAGCAUUUGCCAAGGAUGUUUUCAUUAAUCAAGAACGAAAGUUAGGGGAUCGAAGACGAUCAGAUACCGUCGUAGUCUUAACCAUAAACUAUGCCGACUAGGGAUCGGAUGAUGUUAAUUUUUUAAUGACUCAUUCGGCGCCUUACGGGAAAC
RNAcentral lists this ribosomal RNA (550 nucleotides) under uncultured Glomeromycotina. RNAcentral describes it as "SSU rRNA". It matches the Rfam family "Eukaryotic small subunit ribosomal RNA", at positions 548 to 1098 of the family's 1831-position model. The record is from RNAcentral. Lineage: Eukaryota; Fungi; Glomeromycota.